UCGUUGUAAGAUGAUACGAUGGGUACAUGGGUUUCCAUAUUUGCAUCUUCUUCUUCAUUAACGACAGCAAGUGAAUCCUCUACAUAUUCUACAAGCUCUUGACCAUUUUCGUAAGAACCCAUUUUCUGGGAAAGAAAGAGAGAGAAAAGGAAAAUUAGAAAUUUUGGUUUUAGAGCUCAAAGAAAAACCAAGGGAGAGAAUUAGAGAGGAAUUUGUAAUUGGAUGACUUGAAACUACGUGGGAUGUUG
RNAcentral lists this unclassified non-coding RNA (248 nucleotides) under Hevea brasiliensis (rubber tree). The record is from RNAcentral. Lineage: Eukaryota; Viridiplantae; Streptophyta; Magnoliopsida; Malpighiales; Euphorbiaceae.